Molecule: unclassified non-coding RNA, 53 nt
Filed under: soil metagenome
Description: partial internal transcribed spacer 1
Source: RNAcentral
CAUCGAUGAAGAACGCAGCGUAGCCAGCAUCGAUAAAGAACGCAGCGUAGCCA